RNAcentral lists this ribosomal RNA (253 nucleotides) under uncultured bacterium. RNAcentral's name for it is "partial 16S ribosomal RNA". It matches the Rfam family "Bacterial small subunit ribosomal RNA", at positions 524 to 776 of the family's 1533-position model. The record is from RNAcentral.
UACAGAGGGUGCAAGCGUUGUUCGGAAUUACUGGGCGUAAAGCGCGUGUAGGCUGCAAUGUAAGUCGGAUGUGAAAGCCCUCAGCUUAACUGAGGAAGUGCAUCUGAUACUGCAUCGCUUGAGUGUCGGAGGGGAUGGCGGAAUUCCCGGUGUAGAGGUGAAAUUCGUAGAUAUCGGGAGGAACACCUGUGGCGAAGGCGGCCAUCUGGACGACGACUGACGCUGAGACGCGAAAGCGUGGGGAGCGAACAGG